RNAcentral lists this ribosomal RNA (483 nucleotides) under uncultured bacterium. Its description in RNAcentral is "partial 16S ribosomal RNA". It matches the Rfam family "Bacterial small subunit ribosomal RNA", at positions 28 to 507 of the family's 1533-position model. The record is from RNAcentral.
GACGAACGCUGGCGGCGUGCUUAACACAUGCAAGUCGAACGAUGAAGCGGGUGCUUGCACUCGUGGAUUAGUGGCGAACGGGCGAGUAACACGUGAGUAACCUGUCCUUUUCUUUGGGAUAACGGCUGGAAACGGCUGCUAAUACUGGAUAUUCAGGCUGCAUCGCAUGGUGUGGUUUGGAAAGGUUUUUUCUGGGAUUGGGUGGGCUCGCGGCCUAUCAGCUUGUUGGUGGGGUGAUGGCUUACCAAGGCUUUGACGGGUAGCCGGCCUGAGAGGGUGGUCGGUCGCACUGGGACUGAGAUACGGCCCAGACUCCUACGGGAGGCAGCAGUGGGGAAUAUUGCACAAUGGACGAAAGUUUGAUGCAGCGACGCCGCGUGGAGGGUGUAGGCCUUCGGGUUGUGAACUCCUUUUUCUCGCGAAAAAGGCACAGUUUUGGCUGUGUUGAUGGUAGUAGGGGAAGAAGCGCCGGCUAACUACGUG